AAUCGCGCAUCUGCGACAGGUUCCCCGGAGACGGGGGUGAAAAGGGAACGGAUCAACUCCGGCUGCCCCUGCAACUGUAAGCGGCGAGCUGAAGGCCACAUGCCAUUGGGAUGUCUCAUCCUGAGAAGGCGGUUUUCCGGCAUAGACCCGCAAGCCAGGAGACCUGCCCGUCGCGGUCGUCCUUC
Molecule: non-coding RNA, 185 nt
Filed under: Novosphingobium barchaimii
Lineage: Bacteria; Pseudomonadati; Pseudomonadota; Alphaproteobacteria; Sphingomonadales; Sphingomonadaceae
Source: RNAcentral